UUUAGAGAAAAGGUGAAUUAUUUGGUAUACAUUGUAUUUAGCAUAGAUAGGCAAGAGAAGAGUUAACUCUCAUUUUCACCAGCAACAACAAUGAAACUAUGGCGGAAAAAAAAAUUCUCAAAAUUUUCCCCAAUUUUUUCCCUCUCAAAUUUUGGUUAAAUAAUUAAUGGAGUUCCCUCCCUUAUUCCCCCCACCUAAAAGCAAGAGAAAUGCACAAAACAUUAAAUUGAAGCUCCAAAGUAAAUUUGAGAGAAGCCCUUAUUUUGCGAGUAAUUAAUUCCUGAAAAUUGAGUGAGCUGCAGCUUUAGAAAUGAUAAUAGAAGAAGUUUUGGAGCAAAUUUGUUGGUGGUAGGUGCGGUUGGCUGAAGGGACUAUAGUAAUUUGGGGAACAAAGAUAGUGAGAUGAUUGAGGUAAGUUAUGAUUUUGAUUUGUUUUAUUUUGUACCCAAAAAGUUAAAUUGGUGUUUUUUUUUAACCCAUUAAAUUGGUUUCCUAAAGUUGAGAAUUGGAUUUUGAGAAUUUUUGUGAGAAAUUGAACAGUUUAUUUAGUUCCAUAUUUAUGAAAUGGAUUUCUUAAUGUUGAGAAUUAAAAUUUGAGAGUUAAAUUUUGAGAAAUUGAACAACAUGGUGACAUUUGUUUCUUCUUCAGUAGGCGUCAACAAGUAUAAUUUUCAGUAAUUGAUUAAUUUGUAUUUUAUUUGUAGUUACUUAUCUUCUAGUUAGGCAACAAUACACAAUUCAAAACAUACCAUUAUGUAUGAAUACAAGUGUUGCUGGUACACAUUAUCAUACUAAAGAAAAAAUAUAUCAACAACGUUAAUGUUUGUAUACCAUCUACAUGGUUAAUGGUACAACUGGUAGUACCAACAACCAUACAUGAAAUACUAGUUAGUACAUGUGAACUAUAUAUGCGUAAAAGGUAAAUAAACUACUUACAUAGGAGGAAAUAUCUACUCUCUGCUGUUUCAUGACUUGUGUCGAUCUUGUAGCGGUGUUUUGUGUUUUAUUAUGAUUAGGGACGACUAUGUUUUGAUUACUUUUUGUUUAGUUUGGUUAGGAUUGUAAUGUUGUGAACCAGAACCAAGAUAUGUAGGGGGGCACAUACGUAAGCUGUAGCUUAGAUAGUUGUUCAGACAGUGAUGAAAGUGAACAUUUUGAUUUAAAUGAUGAUUUGAAUAAUGAUGUAUGGGAGGGUUUUGACUUGAAUAAGGACCCUCCUGCUGAAUGUACCAUUACCGAGGAUGAAUGUAGUGUGGAUUUACAUAGUGCAGGCUUAUAGAGUUUAGGUUCACAUAGAUAUGUAGAAGCAGCUGUAGUACCCCCAGAAGUAGGAAUGGAGUUUAGUAAUUGGGAUGACAUGAAUAAUUAUCAUCGUAGUUAUGGGAAGCAAGAGGGAUUUGGUCUUGUGCGUAUAGGUGGUGGAAAGACAAGAUCAUAUAACACUUAUGUUUGGAAGUGUAAUGUAACGGUAUGACAACAUACAAGAGGUGGGUUAAUGGGAAGACGAUUGUGGUUUAUGAUGAGCCAUUUUCGAAGAAGAAGAGUAAAAAAUGCAACUACCUAGUGAUGAUGUAUGGACAAGGCAACAAUGAAAGUGGGUGGCAGAUCAAGAAAUUAGUCAAUGAGCACAAUCACAUAGUGAGUUCCGAGUUGUCAAGACACAUUGCAAUGUAUAGGGUGAAAAAAAUUACUAAGCAUUUCGAGCAUAGGAUUGAAACUGACCAUGCAUAUGGCGCCCUAGUAGGGCAUAUAUUCAACAACUUAGCGGGCCAAAGGUAUGGUCUUAAGAAUGUGGGAUUCACGAAAAAAAUAUUGAUAAUUUGGUGAAUAGAAAGAGGAGGUCGAAGUUAAAAAAUGGUAAUGUCUCGGCUAUGGUGGAGUAUUUUGAUAAAAUGACUGCAGAUAAUGACUACAGGAUAAGGAAGAAGGGUUUCAACUACAAGGGUUUCAGCAACGACAUGGUUUCCAGUCACAAGGUUUUUAGUCCCAAGGGUUUCAGCCACAAGUGUUUCAGCCACACGAGUUUUACUCUCAAGGUGUGGAAUCCCAAGGUGUUCAGUCAUAAGGUCAGAUGGUGAAACAGAAGGGCAUAGUUGUUGUUACGCAAAAAACUUACUGUUUUGGGAAGGUACAAUGUGGUGACUUUUUUGCAGGAAUUUAAUGAUGUUUUUAGUUGGCUUUUGUGUUAUUAAUGAUGCAUUUGUAAUUUUUUCUUCGAGCCACAAACUUCAUGUGCAAAGUUGAUGCUAUUAGUGAAGUGUUGGAGGUGUUGUCGAUGAAUAAGGAGAGGCGGGCGAUAAUCGGAAGAUGUGGCUUUGGUGACCUUUUCCAUAUCAUUAAGUUGUAGAAGGCAAAGGUCUGUCUGGGGUUUGCUUAUUGGUUGAUGAGUAGGGUCGAUGGUGACACCAGACAUUUUGAAAUGGGUUAUGGAAGCUUAGUGCCACUGUGCCCUACACAAUGGCGCUGCAUUUUUGGUAUUCUUGCCGCACGUAAGGAUCUUCCUAGGUGGGUAACUGAUGGUGGUUUUUCUAUUCGUGAAAAAAUUACUAUCUCAAUUAAGGAUUUGUAUGGUGUAAAAUGCAAGAAUGGUAGGUUUAGGAUAUCCGUGGAUAUGGCUGCUGAAAAAAAUUCUAAAAAUGCAUGUAAUUACGAGGAAGGAUCAAGAUCAUUUUAUUAUUGCUUUCUUGGUUGCAAUGUUUGGGGGGCGGUUAUGCCCCACUAGCGGUGGAAAAUUUUUGGCGGCUUCCCUGGCGCCUCUUGUUUGUGUUGGAGUGGAAGCCCGAGAAUACGAUUGGUGCACGAUGGCGCACGAGUGGUUGAUGACAGGUGUUAGGACUUUGCUUUAAAAUUUGAGGCUUCUGGUUAUGCUGCAGUGGUGGGUGGUUGUUCACUUUUCCUCAUGGUUAGUUUUUGUGGUUAAUAUUAGUUUUUGUGGUUGUCACUUUUGUUGUGUUGAUAUUUCAUGGUUUGUCUCACGGAUGUCAGAGAUUGGCAUUAUGCUACAACUGAUAGUUGUUUAUGUAUCAAUUAUUUGCGUAUUUUUGCAAAUGGAGGGUUCUUUUGAGGAAUUCAGUUA
Long non-coding RNA from Chenopodium quinoa (quinoa), 3076 nucleotides. RefSeq lists it as uncharacterized. The transcript is spliced from 2 exons. The record is from RefSeq and is a predicted model, not a curated record. NCBI's taxonomy places the organism in Eukaryota, Viridiplantae, Streptophyta, Magnoliopsida, Caryophyllales, Amaranthaceae.